GGCAACAUGGCCGAGUGGUUAUGGCGUAGGAUUUAGGUUCCUAUGGAGCAAUCCGCGAGGGUUCGAUCCCCUCUGUUGUCA
This 81-nucleotide transfer RNA is filed under the name Pyricularia oryzae 70-15. RNAcentral's name for it is "tRNA-Leu (TAG) (tRNA-Leu-TAG-1-1)". It matches the Rfam family "tRNA". From Rfam's summary of the family: Transfer RNA (tRNA) molecules are approximately 80 nucleotides in length. Their secondary structure includes four short double-helical elements and three loops (D, anti-codon, and T loops). Further hydrogen bonds mediate the characteristic L-shaped molecular structure. tRNAs have two regions of fundamental functional importance: the anti-codon, which is responsible for specific mRNA codon recognition, and the 3' end, to which the tRNAs corresponding amino acid is attached (by aminoacyl-tRNA synthetases). tRNAs cope with the degeneracy of the genetic code in two manners: having more than one tRNA (with a specific anti-codon) for a particular amino acid; and 'wobble' base-pairing, i.e. permitting non-standard base-pairing at the 3rd anti-codon position. The record is from RNAcentral. Lineage: Eukaryota; Fungi; Ascomycota; Sordariomycetes; Magnaporthales; Pyriculariaceae.